This is a long non-coding RNA of Pongo pygmaeus (Bornean orangutan), 730 nucleotides long. RefSeq lists it as uncharacterized. The record is from RefSeq and is a predicted model, not a curated record. The transcript is spliced from 4 exons. Lineage: Eukaryota; Metazoa; Chordata; Mammalia; Primates; Hominidae.
UAGAAAACACCUGAAGCUGGUGAGCAGCCGCUUCCAGAUAAGAUCUCAGCACACUAAGAGGCAAGAUGGUGGAAUUUAACUAGUGUAUGACCUUUCUUUAGGAGCACUCAACUGGUAUCCAGAUGCAGAAGUCUUACUUCCUGCUUUUCUGUGACAUCAUCCUUCCGAAGGCAGGGCACAGGCAAGAACAUGAUAAAGCACUUCUCCUUCCUGCCAUCACGUGAAGAAGGAUGUGUUUGCUUCCCCCUCUGCCAGGAUUGUACGUUUCCUGAAGCCUCCCCAGCCUGCAGAACUGAAGUGACUUCCAAGACGAUGCCCUCUACCACAUCACAUUUCCAGAUUAUAGUGAUCAUCUACAUGUUGCAGAGACACGAAAUUAUAUCUGGUAGAACACAAACGGAAAAGCCUUUGCAAGACAUGUUAGUUAAAUUCUCAUUUGAAGAAAAAAGCUUAUAUUUCUCGGCAUACAUACUUCUGAGCUCGUGUUAAGUGAACAAAAUUGAGAUCUCAUGUCCUGGCAAUAAACCAACUCUUGUUACCUAAGGAUGUGCCGCUUAGUCUUUGCAUUUCAAUGUCUGUUAAAAAGUGACCAUGUGGGCCGGGCGCGGUGCUCACGUCUGUCAUCCUAGCACUUUGGGAGGCCGAGGAGGGCAGAUCACGAGGUCAGGAAAUCGAGACCAUCCGGGCUAACACGGUGAAACCCCGUCUGUACUAAAAAUACAAAAAAUCA